Molecule: transfer RNA, 87 nt
Filed under: Cordylochernes scorpioides
Lineage: Eukaryota; Metazoa; Arthropoda; Arachnida; Pseudoscorpiones; Chernetidae
Description: tRNA-Sec
Source: RNAcentral
GCCCAGAUGAACUUCAGAGGUCCAGGGUGCAGGCUUUAAACCUGUGGCUGUUUAAAAGCGGAAUGGUUUGAUUCUACCUUCUGGGUG